ACUCCACUGCUGUUGUUUGAACUUUGAUCAACAUUUCCAGAUGAGUUUCCAGCACUGAAAGCAGUUUGGAUUUUUGGACUCAUUUCAACUUCUUGAACACUUUCCUUGUAAUACAUUUUCACAUCUUGUUGAUUACUCGGAUUGUUCAUCCUUGCAAUCUUUUAUUGUUCAAGAUCUUGAUCUUCAAUCUUUUUGAUGAAUUGAGAAAUUGUUAGGUCAUCAUAUUUAGGGCUGUCCAAACUGCUCGACGAUCGAAGAUCGCUCGACGAUCGCUCGAAAAAUGCUCGAAAAAUGCUCGUUCGAUUCCUGCUCAGUUUGUAAAUGAGCCGAUCGGGUCGGUUCGAUUCAAAUUCAAUCCGAGCAUGAGCAAAGCUCCGCUCGCUCGCCGAUCGCUCGGUUUCGCUCGAAUUAUUUUUUAUUAAUAAUUAAUAUAUAUAUAUAUAUAUAUAUUAUAUUUUAUAGAUUAAAAACCCAAAAAAUAUAAUAGCCCAAAAAAUUAAAAGCCCAAAUAAUAUUAGCCCAAGUUAAUAUUUAAUAUACAAAUCUAACCCUAAACUACCGCGGCGAAAGACAUUUUUGGCAUCCCGAUCACUACCGUGGCUUCCGAAUCAGCCUUUAGUGCUGGGGGGGCGUAUAUUGGAUGACUACCGAAGCUCUCUUUCAAAGGAUAUGGUGGAACUUCUUGUUUGUGGAAGUGAUUGGUUAAAGGCGAGCUCAAAAACAACCUUAAAAACAUUGAAGCAAGCUGCAAGAGAUGAAGAAAAAUUGGAAUUUGAUGUGUUGACUCCAGAUGGGUUUGAUAAUAAAUGAAAGGUUAUAUGUUGAUUUGAAGUUGAAUUUUAUGGAUGAAGAUGAACAAGCUUAGAGAAGAAGUUUAUGGCUUUUGAACUAAGUGACAAUUUGUAUUCGCACUUUAUUUUGUGUUGCUUUUGUAUUUGCACUUUAUUUUGUGUUUCUUAUGUAUUCGCACUUUAUUUUGUGUUGCUUUUGUAUUCGCACUUUAAGUUAGAAUUUGUUUUUGUUGAA
Long non-coding RNA from Helianthus annuus (common sunflower), 1026 nucleotides. RefSeq lists it as uncharacterized. The record is from RefSeq and is a predicted model, not a curated record. NCBI's taxonomy places the organism in Eukaryota, Viridiplantae, Streptophyta, Magnoliopsida, Asterales, Asteraceae. The transcript is spliced from 3 exons.